Molecule: ribosomal RNA, 506 nt
Filed under: uncultured bacterium
Lineage: Bacteria
Description: partial 16S ribosomal RNA
Rfam family: Bacterial small subunit ribosomal RNA
Source: RNAcentral
GAUGAACGCUAGAGGCAGGCCUAACACAUGCAAGUCGAGGGGCAGCACAUAAAGUGGUUUACUACUUUUGGUGGCGACCGGCGGACGGGUGCGUAACGCGUAUGCAACCUGCCUCCAACAGGGGGAUAACGGAGAGAAAUUUCCACUAAUACCCCAUAAUAUCAGAAUCGGCAUCGGUUUUGGUUGAAAACUCCGGUGGUUGGAGAUGGGCAUGCGUUGUAUUAGAUAGUUGGUGAGGUAAUGGCUCAGCAAGUCAACGAUACAUAGGGGGACUGAGAGGUUAGCCCCCCACACUGGUACUGAGACACGGACCAGACUCCUACCGGAGGCAGCAGUGAGGAAUAUUGGUCAAUGGGGGCAACCCUGAACCAGCCAUGCCGCGUGCAGGAAGACGGCUCUAUGAGUUGUAAACUGCUUUUACAAGGGGAUAAAUCGGUGUACGUGUACACCGUUGAAGGUACCUUGGGAAUAAGGAUCGGCUAACUCCGUGCCAGCCGCCGCAGUAA